RNAcentral lists this ribosomal RNA (289 nucleotides) under Pycnococcus provasolii. RNAcentral describes it as "partial Bacterial small subunit ribosomal RNA". It matches the Rfam family "Bacterial small subunit ribosomal RNA", at positions 20 to 305 of the family's 1533-position model. The record is from RNAcentral. Lineage: Eukaryota; Viridiplantae; Chlorophyta; Pseudoscourfieldiophyceae; Pseudoscourfieldiales; Pycnococcaceae.
UGGCUCAGAUUGAACGCUGGCGGUAUGCUUAACACAUGCAAGUCGAACGGUAACGAUGCUAGCUUGCUAGCAGGCGACGAGUGGCGGACGGGUGAGUAACACGUGGGAAUCUACCGAGUAGCGGGGGAUAGCCCGGAGAAAUCCGGAUUAAUACCGCAUAAGCACUACGGUGUAAAGGGGGCCUCUUCUUGAAAGCUUCCACUAUUCGAUGAGCCUGCGUCAGAUUAGCUAGUUGGUGGGGUAAUGGCCUACCAAGGCGACGAUCUGUAGCUGGUCUGAGAGGAUGAUC